This 553-nucleotide long non-coding RNA is filed under the name Anser cygnoides (Swan goose). RNAcentral describes it as "lncRNA (ENSACDG00005007898.1)". The record is from RNAcentral. Lineage: Eukaryota; Metazoa; Chordata; Aves; Anseriformes; Anatidae.
CUGAAGAUCAGGAUCAGGCACGAAUGUUUGCCAGCCAUUGCAAUGGCUGAAUUUACUCUUUCUUCUGUCUGAGUGGAAGGCAUAGGGAAAACAUGGGCUGUUAAUGCAAUAUAUCUCUAAGCAACUGUAGGAGCUAUGCCUUGCUAGCUACCUAUACAACACCCCACUUCCAAAUGAUCUGGUUAUGGCAUACGGUGAUUUCUGCAAAGGAAGCAAUUUGGCAGGAACCAGCCCUGCGGGAAGGAGGGAACUCAACUGGAGCAUCCUUAUCAUCUUCUGUUAUGUUUUGACCACAGGUUGUCAGCAAAUAGCCUUUGGAGUUUAAUUACAUGAUCAAGAUUGCUGCGGAGCAUGGAAGAUGAAAGAACGAAUAGAACACAUAAUGCUAUUUACAUGAGUGGCACCUAUGGAGGAGCAGAUAUUUGGAGUUACAACAGAACAAUUGCCUUCGAAGUUGUUCUUUCAUUCUUCACUGCUAGUGCACUCUGCAGUCUCAGAGGCUGGGUCAAUGAAGGGGCACACAGUAUAUCUUCAGAAGAGAUCAAUUGCAAUC